GAAUUUGUCAGUUGGUCGGGCUUCACUGUCCGUAUUGACUUGAUGGAUUCUUACCUUCUGAAUAACCAGCAUGCUAUUAAUUCAGUGCGUUGGGGAAGCAGAUCUAUUACCUUGAAAAAAUUAGAGUGCUUAAAUCAAGCUAGUGCUUGAAUAGAUUAGCACGGAAUAAUAAAAUAGGACGGCAUGGUUCUAUUUUGUUGGUUUCUAGGAUCACCAUA
This 218-nucleotide ribosomal RNA is filed under the name uncultured Acaulospora. RNAcentral describes it as "partial small subunit ribosomal RNA". The stretch from base 33 to 218 matches the Rfam family "Eukaryotic small subunit ribosomal RNA", at positions 678 to 864 of the family's 1831-position model. Lineage: Eukaryota; Fungi; Glomeromycota; Glomeromycetes; Diversisporales; Acaulosporaceae. The record is from RNAcentral.